Molecule: long non-coding RNA, 732 nt
Filed under: Equus caballus (horse)
Lineage: Eukaryota; Metazoa; Chordata; Mammalia; Perissodactyla; Equidae
Description: lncRNA (ENSECAG00000041154.2)
Source: RNAcentral
CAAAAUGUAAUUGUCCUCGGAAGGGAAUUCCAGGUCUGACAAUGACUGGAUUGUAGUUUUGGAAUCUUUGCCUUCCUGGCUGCAAGAAAUUCACUAAAGGAAGCUUUCUUGGCACAUGGUUCCUCAUGCGGAUGCUUCAAGACAGUGGCUUUCACUACUGAAAGGCAACGAGUACCUGGAAUGCAGGUGGUGCCAUCUUGAAGCAUGAGGUUGAGACCACGCACUACAGAGCAACCAGGAAUUUUAAAGGUUGAAUUUCUAUGAUUCCGUGCCUGACCUUUUGUGGUUGAGAGGAGGAACAGAGUGGCUGUCACAGAUUUGGCUCUUCUGUCUGUCACAUGGAUUGAAAGCGGAGCCUCCGGAAUUGGAGACUGCUGGGAGGAUACAGAGAACCAGAAAUAUGGAUUCUAAUGAGAACACGGUGCAGAGUUUCUGUAUUAUUUAUCCAACUUCCAUAUAAUCUGACAAUUUAUCAUCUGGGAUACCACCUUUGUUCAAGCCACUGUCACCUUUUACCUGACAUGGUCACUUGGAUCCCCCUGAAAUUCCAUGAGGAAAUAAGAACUGGAGGAGCCUCUCUUUUGCAAUGCUGGACUUGAAAGGAAAGUAGGCAGGGCCAUCAGCUGGGGCAAUGGAAUUGACGGGACUAUAUAUCUCUCAUCAUUCAGAAGGCUAGCCCAAGAUUUUUCACAUGGAGGCUGCAGAGUUCCAAGAAAUACAAGAGUAGAAGCU